RNAcentral lists this transfer RNA (75 nucleotides) under Cordylochernes scorpioides. RNAcentral describes it as "tRNA-Thr". The record is from RNAcentral. Lineage: Eukaryota; Metazoa; Arthropoda; Arachnida; Pseudoscorpiones; Chernetidae.
UGUCCAGGGAUGGAAAUCGAACCCACAGUGUUUCACUUACCAGGCAGAUGCCAUGUCCUCUAGGCUAUCCUGGGC